UACGGGGGGGGCAAGCGUUGUUCGGAAUUACGGGGCGUAAAGGGCUCGUAGGCGGCCAACUAAGUCGGACGUGAAAUCCCUCGGCUUAACCGGGGAACUGCGUCCGAUACUGGAUGGCUUGAGUUUGGGAGAGGGAUGCGGAAUUCCAGGUGUAGCGGUGAAAUGCGUAGAUAUCUGGAGGAACACCGGUGGCGAAGGCGGCGUUCUGGACUGUUUCUGACACUGAAAAACGAAAGCCAGGGGAGCAAACGGG
Molecule: ribosomal RNA, 253 nt
Filed under: uncultured bacterium
Lineage: Bacteria
Description: partial 16S ribosomal RNA
Rfam family: Bacterial small subunit ribosomal RNA
Source: RNAcentral